RNAcentral lists this transfer RNA (72 nucleotides) under Thermoplasmatota archaeon. RNAcentral's name for it is "Candidatus Thermoplasmatota archaeon tRNA-Gly". It matches the Rfam family "tRNA". From Rfam's summary of the family: Transfer RNA (tRNA) molecules are approximately 80 nucleotides in length. Their secondary structure includes four short double-helical elements and three loops (D, anti-codon, and T loops). Further hydrogen bonds mediate the characteristic L-shaped molecular structure. tRNAs have two regions of fundamental functional importance: the anti-codon, which is responsible for specific mRNA codon recognition, and the 3' end, to which the tRNAs corresponding amino acid is attached (by aminoacyl-tRNA synthetases). tRNAs cope with the degeneracy of the genetic code in two manners: having more than one tRNA (with a specific anti-codon) for a particular amino acid; and 'wobble' base-pairing, i.e. permitting non-standard base-pairing at the 3rd anti-codon position. The record is from RNAcentral. Lineage: Archaea; Methanobacteriati; Thermoplasmatota.
GCGGAUGUGAUCUAGGGGUUAUGAUUAGAGCCUUCCAAGCUCUCAGCCCGGGUUCAAAUCCCGGCGUCCGCA